RNAcentral lists this transfer RNA (55 nucleotides) under Pseudotaxiphyllum pohliicarpum. RNAcentral's name for it is "partial tRNA-Phe". It matches the Rfam family "tRNA", at positions 1 to 52 of the family's 71-position model. From Rfam's summary of the family: Transfer RNA (tRNA) molecules are approximately 80 nucleotides in length. Their secondary structure includes four short double-helical elements and three loops (D, anti-codon, and T loops). The record is from RNAcentral. Lineage: Eukaryota; Viridiplantae; Streptophyta; Bryopsida; Hypnales; Plagiotheciaceae.
GGCCGGAAUAGCUCAGUUGGUAGAGCAGAGGACUGAAAAUCCUCGUGUCACCAGU